AUUGAACGCUAGCGGGAUGCCUUACACAUGCAAGUCGAACGGUGUGGCGAACGGGCGAGUAAUGUACCGGUACGUGCCCAGUCGCGGGGGAUAACUACGCGAAAGCGUAGCUAAUAUCGCACACUAUUGGAGCGGCCGAUAUCGGAUUAGCUAGGUGGUAGGGCAACGGGUCACCAAGGCGACGACCCGUAGCUGGUUUGAGAGGAGGACCAGCCACACUGGAACUGAGACACGGCCCAGACGCCUACGGGAGGCAGCAGUAGGGAAUUUUGCGCAAUGGGGGAAACCCUGAUCGAGCCAUCCCGCGUGUGCGAUGAAGGCCUUCGGGUUGUAAAGCUCUUUUAGCAGGGAAGCGGUACCUACACAGUAAGCACCGGCUAACUACGUGCCAGCAGCCGCGGUAAUAC
Molecule: ribosomal RNA, 407 nt
Filed under: uncultured bacterium
Lineage: Bacteria
Description: partial 16S ribosomal RNA
Rfam family: Bacterial small subunit ribosomal RNA
Source: RNAcentral